RNAcentral lists this ribosomal RNA (471 nucleotides) under uncultured bacterium. Its description in RNAcentral is "partial 16S ribosomal RNA". It matches the Rfam family "Bacterial small subunit ribosomal RNA", at positions 28 to 507 of the family's 1533-position model. The record is from RNAcentral.
GACGAACGCUGGCGGCGUGCUUAACACAUGCAAGUCGAACGAUGAAGCGGUGCUUGCACCGUGGAUUAGUGGCGAACGGGUGAGUAAUACGUGAGUGACCUACCUUUGACUCUGGGAUAAGCCUGGGAAACUGGGUCUAAUACCGGAUACGACCAAUCUCUGCAUGGGGUGUUGGUGGAAAGCGUUAUGGAGUGGUUUUAGAUGGGCUCACGGCCUAUCAGCUUGUUGGUGAGGUAAUGGCUUACCAAGGCGACGACGGGUAGCCGGCCCGAGAGGGUGACCGGCCACACUGGGACUGAGACACGGCCCAGACUCCUACGGGAGGCAGCAGUGGGGAAUAUUGCACAAUGGGCGCAAGCCUGAUGCAGCGACGCCGCGUGAGGGAUGACGGCCUUCGGGUUGUAAACCUCUGUUAGCAUCGAAGAAGCGAAAGUGACGGUAGGUGCAGAGAAAGCGCCGGCUAACUACGUG